RNAcentral lists this small nuclear RNA (153 nucleotides) under Sorex araneus (European shrew). RNAcentral's name for it is "U2 spliceosomal RNA (ENSSARG00000019544.1)". The stretch from base 1 to 114 matches the Rfam family "U2 spliceosomal RNA". Rfam says of the family: U2 is a small nuclear RNA (snRNA) component of the spliceosome (involved in pre-mRNA splicing). Complementary binding between U2 snRNA (in an area lying towards the 5' end but 3' to hairpin I) and the branchpoint sequence (BPS) of the intron results the bulging out of an unpaired adenosine, on the BPS, which initiates a nucleophilic attack at the intronic 5' splice site, thus starting the first of two transesterification reactions that mediate splicing. Lineage: Eukaryota; Metazoa; Chordata; Mammalia; Eulipotyphla; Soricidae. The record is from RNAcentral.
AUUGUUACUCAGCCAUUUAGAUAAGAUCAAGUGUAGUAUCUGUUCUUAUCAGCUUAAUAUAGCUGAUAUUUUCCUUGGGCAAUAGAGGAUAAAUCAUCUAUUCAGGUACCCUUUUGUGUUUACUGUGUUGCACUAUUUGAACAUAGAUUCUUU